CAUUGACUGUAUGCAUUGGGAG
RNAcentral lists this microRNA (22 nucleotides) under Raphanus sativus (radish). RNAcentral describes it as "rsa-miRn2". Lineage: Eukaryota; Viridiplantae; Streptophyta; Magnoliopsida; Brassicales; Brassicaceae. The record is from RNAcentral.